UGGAUUAGUGGCGAACGGGUGAGUAACACGUGAGUAACCUGCCCUCCACUUUGGGAUAACUCCGAGAAAUCGGGGCUAAUACUGGAUAUGACCUUGGCCCGCAUGGGUUGUGGUGGAAAGUUUUUCGGUGGGGAUGAGCUCGCGGCCUAUCAGCUUGUUGGUGGGGUAAUGGCCUACCAAGGCGUCGACGGGUAGCCGGCCUGAGAGGGUGUACGGCCACAUUGGGACUGAGAUACGGCCCAG
This 243-nucleotide ribosomal RNA is filed under the name uncultured Actinomycetales bacterium. RNAcentral's name for it is "partial 16S ribosomal RNA". It matches the Rfam family "Bacterial small subunit ribosomal RNA", at positions 88 to 334 of the family's 1533-position model. The record is from RNAcentral. Lineage: Bacteria; Bacillati; Actinomycetota; Actinomycetes; Actinomycetales.